GAUGAACGCUGGCGGCGUGCCUAAUACAUGCAAGUCGAGCGAACGGACGAGAAGCUUGCUUCUCUGAUGUUAGCGGCGGACGGGUGAGUAACACGUGGAUAACCUACCUAUAAGACUGGUAUAACUUCGGGAAACCGGAGCUAAUACCGGAUAAUAUUUUGAACCGCAUGGUUCAAAAGUGAAAUACGGUCUUGCUGUCACUUAUAGAUGGAUCCGCGCUGCAUUGGCUAGUUGGUAAGGUAACGGCUUUCCAAGGCAACGAUGCAUAGCCGAGCUGGGAGACUGAUCGGCCACCCUGGAGCUGAGACAGGGUCCAGACUACUGCGGGAGGCAGCAGUAGGGAAUCUUCCGCAAUAGGCGAAAGCCUGACGGAACGACGCCACGUGAGUGAUAAAGGUCUUCGGAUCGUAAAACUCUCUUAUUAGGGAAGAACAUAUGUGUAAGUAACUGUGCACAGAUUGACGGUAACUAAUAAGAAAGCCACGGCUAACUACGUG
This 497-nucleotide ribosomal RNA is filed under the name uncultured bacterium. RNAcentral describes it as "partial 16S ribosomal RNA". It matches the Rfam family "Bacterial small subunit ribosomal RNA", at positions 28 to 507 of the family's 1533-position model. The record is from RNAcentral.